This 75-nucleotide transfer RNA is filed under the name Candidatus Curtissbacteria bacterium RIFOXYA1_FULL_41_14. RNAcentral's name for it is "tRNA-Gly". It matches the Rfam family "tRNA". From Rfam's summary of the family: Transfer RNA (tRNA) molecules are approximately 80 nucleotides in length. Their secondary structure includes four short double-helical elements and three loops (D, anti-codon, and T loops). Further hydrogen bonds mediate the characteristic L-shaped molecular structure. tRNAs have two regions of fundamental functional importance: the anti-codon, which is responsible for specific mRNA codon recognition, and the 3' end, to which the tRNAs corresponding amino acid is attached (by aminoacyl-tRNA synthetases). tRNAs cope with the degeneracy of the genetic code in two manners: having more than one tRNA (with a specific anti-codon) for a particular amino acid; and 'wobble' base-pairing, i.e. permitting non-standard base-pairing at the 3rd anti-codon position. RNAcentral also lists the same sequence under 4 other names. The record is from RNAcentral. Lineage: Bacteria; Candidatus Curtissiibacteriota.
GCGGGUGUAGUUUAGUGGUAAAACGUCCGCUUGCCAAGUGGAAGAGCGUGGGUUCGAUCCCCAUCACCCGCUCCC